Molecule: ribosomal RNA, 450 nt
Filed under: uncultured bacterium
Lineage: Bacteria
Description: partial 16S ribosomal RNA
Rfam family: Bacterial small subunit ribosomal RNA
Source: RNAcentral
GUGGGGAAUCUUCCGCAAUGGACGAAAGUCUGACGGAGCAACGCCGCGUGAGUGAAGAAGGUUUUCGGAUCGUAAAGCUCUUUCGUUAGGGACGAACGUGCUCUUUGUGAAUAAUGAGGAGUAAUGACGGUACCUAAAUAAGAAGCCACGGCUAACUACGUGCCAGCAGCCGCGGUAAUACGUAGGUGGCAAGCGUUGUCCGGAAUUAUUGGGCGUAAAGCGCGCGCAGGCGGGAUAUCAAGUCUGUCUUAAAAGUGCGAGGCUCAACCUCGUGAGGGGACAGAAACUGGUAUUCUUGAGUGUCGGAGAGGAAAGUGGAAUUCCAAGUGGAGCGGUGAAAUGCGUAGAGAUUUGGAAGAACACCAGUGGCGAAGGCGACUUUCUGGACGAUGUCUGACGCUGAGGCGCGAAAGCUAGGGGAGCGAACGGGAUUAGAAACCCCAGUAGUCC